RNAcentral lists this transfer RNA (71 nucleotides) under Camelus bactrianus (Bactrian camel). It matches the Rfam family "tRNA". From Rfam's summary of the family: Transfer RNA (tRNA) molecules are approximately 80 nucleotides in length. Their secondary structure includes four short double-helical elements and three loops (D, anti-codon, and T loops). Lineage: Eukaryota; Metazoa; Chordata; Mammalia; Artiodactyla; Camelidae. The record is from Rfam by way of RNAcentral. RNAcentral also lists the same sequence under 2 other names.
GAGGUUUUAGUUCAGUGGGAGAGUGCAUGCCUAGCAUGCAUGGGGUCCUGGGUUCUAGCCCCAGUACCUCC